UGAUGGUACGUAUUUGAGGUAAUAGAAAUUUACAAAAACAGAUAAACAUCUUUAUAAAGGAGAUUCUGUGAACAAAAUGUACAGAUAUAUAUCUAUAGGAAUACAGUCAACAAAGAACAAAGGAAAAUGUCUUUGUCUUAAAUCACUUAUUUUUUGAGAGCUUGAAGCAUACUUCCUAAGUCUGUGAUGGUCUAAUGAAAGAGUGCCAUCUAUUGGAUGACCUUGAAAAACUACUUAAAUUUCAUAAAUACUGUACAUGAAAAUGCAGCAUUGGAAAAUAACCAUUUUGGCAAAAUUUGCAGUUGUAUUAGUCUUUUUUCUAUGUAUAUCUAUAUCUAUAUGUAUAUACCUGAAGCCUAUGCUAAAUAAAGUACAGAAAUACUAUUUAUCAAUGUUAUUCUUUUUACUAUGGUUAUGUAGCAAUACAAGUUUCACAUAUAAACUCAGCAAAUUAUUGUCUGAUUAAGACAUAUAAUUUUUUAAAUCAAAUGUUUACAAACUUAAGAUUGCUGACUUGCAUCUUGUGUUCCCUCAUGCCUACCUUUGUUUACUUGUGCUUUAAAUAAAGGAAUCUGAGGAUUGACGCAUGAGCUUGUAUUUUGACAAGGAUCUGUUUAAAUCUUCUUCAAAGUUGCAUUGCAUUAAAUUUAAGCACACCCCCCCCCCCCAGAAAAAAUGGAAAACAAAACACAUUAGCUUGGUUUUUUAAAAGUAAAUGUCCUUGUUUUAUCUUUCAGCCCAAGAACUUGCCAGUCAAGAUGAAAAACUUCUUCUAAUGGAAUCCAGCUUGAAAGCUACUCAAGAGCAGCUAACUGAGCAAAUAGCAGAAACAGUUCGCCAAGAACAGAACAGUAGAAAACCCCAGGCAGAGCUGAAGACAGUGACAGAAGGGAUUAUUGCUUCUGAAGAAGAAAAAAAUGAUUACAAAUUCGUACUUCCAGGAUGGAAAACUACUUGUUCUUCCAGAGACCACUCAGAUGCCAUCUCUGACUCCCUCUUUUUGCAGUCCCAGGCAGAGAUUUUGUUGCUAAUGUCUUAAUCCUUCUCCUUGUAUAUUGUAUUUAUGUUUGCAAUGUGUCUCCUAUACCUAAAAAAAAAAACCUUAUUUUUUUGUACAGUGAAUAAAUGAAUUAAAUAAAUGAUACA
Long non-coding RNA from Oryctolagus cuniculus (rabbit), 1146 nucleotides. NCBI's taxonomy places the organism in Eukaryota, Metazoa, Chordata, Mammalia, Lagomorpha, Leporidae. The record is from Ensembl.